CCUACGGGAGGCAGCAGUGGGGAAUAUUGCACAAUGGGGGAAACCCUGAUGCCGCGACGCCGCGUGAGUGCAGAAGUAAUUCGUUAUGUAAAGCUCUAUCAGCAGGGAAGAAAAUGACGGUACCUGAGUAAGAAGCCCCGGCUAACUACGUGCCAGCAGCCGCGGUAAUAAGUAGGGGGCAAGCGUUAUCCGGAUUUACUGGGUGUAAAGGGAGCGUAGACGGCAGUGCAAGUCUGGAGUGAAAGGCGGGGGCUCAACCCCCGGACUGCUCUGGAAACUGUACGGCUGGAGUGCAGGAGAGGUAAGUGGAAUGCCUAGUGUAGCGGUGAAAUGCGUAGAUAUUAGGAGGAACACCAGUGGCGAAGGCGGCUUACUGGACUGUAACUGACGUUGAGGCUCGAAAGCGUGGGGAGCAAACAGGAUUAGAUACCCCUGUAGUC
RNAcentral lists this ribosomal RNA (440 nucleotides) under uncultured bacterium. RNAcentral's name for it is "partial 16S ribosomal RNA". It matches the Rfam family "Bacterial small subunit ribosomal RNA", at positions 338 to 795 of the family's 1533-position model. The record is from RNAcentral.